GUCCCCGUCGAUUAGUGGUUAGAUCAUCACGUUGUGGCCUAGCUAGCAAUCCGUGAAGACGCAGGCUCGACUCCUGCCAGGGACA
Molecule: transfer RNA, 85 nt
Filed under: Lentinula aciculospora
Lineage: Eukaryota; Fungi; Basidiomycota; Agaricomycetes; Agaricales; Omphalotaceae
Rfam family: tRNA
About the family: Transfer RNA (tRNA) molecules are approximately 80 nucleotides in length. Their secondary structure includes four short double-helical elements and three loops (D, anti-codon, and T loops). Further hydrogen bonds mediate the characteristic L-shaped molecular structure. tRNAs have two regions of fundamental functional importance: the anti-codon, which is responsible for specific mRNA codon recognition, and the 3' end, to which the tRNAs corresponding amino acid is attached (by aminoacyl-tRNA synthetases). tRNAs cope with the degeneracy of the genetic code in two manners: having more than one tRNA (with a specific anti-codon) for a particular amino acid; and 'wobble' base-pairing, i.e. permitting non-standard base-pairing at the 3rd anti-codon position.
Source: Rfam by way of RNAcentral